Podarcis lilfordi (Lilford's wall lizard) is the source of this 73-nucleotide non-coding RNA. The record is from the annotation of a GenBank genome assembly. Lineage: Eukaryota; Metazoa; Chordata; Lepidosauria; Squamata; Lacertidae.
AACUAGAUAGCCCAGUUGGUAGAGCAUGAGAUUCUUAAUCUCAGGGUUGUGAGUCUGAGCCCCAGGUUGGGUG